GGGUCGGUAGCUCAGUGGUUUAGAGCGCCUGGCUCUUAACCAGGCGGUCGAGGGUUCGAAUCCCUCCCGACCCG
RNAcentral lists this transfer RNA (74 nucleotides) under Halobacteriales archaeon QH_3_68_24. Its description in RNAcentral is "tRNA-Lys". It matches the Rfam family "tRNA". Rfam says of the family: Transfer RNA (tRNA) molecules are approximately 80 nucleotides in length. Their secondary structure includes four short double-helical elements and three loops (D, anti-codon, and T loops). Lineage: Archaea; Methanobacteriati; Methanobacteriota; Halobacteria; Halobacteriales. The record is from RNAcentral. RNAcentral also lists the same sequence under 3 other names.